This 292-nucleotide ribosomal RNA is filed under the name uncultured bacterium. RNAcentral describes it as "partial 16S ribosomal RNA". It matches the Rfam family "Bacterial small subunit ribosomal RNA", at positions 505 to 796 of the family's 1533-position model. The record is from RNAcentral. RNAcentral also lists the same sequence under 1 other name.
GUGUCAGCCGCCGCGGUAAUACGAAGGGUGCAAGCGUUACUCGGAAUUACUGGGCGUAAAGCGUGCGUAGGUGGUUGUUUAAGUCUGUUGUGAAAGCCCUGGGCUCAACCUGGGAAUUGCAGUGGAUACUGGGCGACUAGAGUGUGGUAGAGGGUAGUGGAAUUCCCGGUGUAGCAGUGAAAUGCGUAGAGAUCGGGAGGAACAUCCAUGGCGAAGGCAGCUACCUGGACCAACACUGACACUGAGGCACGAAAGCGUGGGGAGCAAACAGGAUUAGAAACCCCCGUAGUCC